RNAcentral lists this transfer RNA (86 nucleotides) under Actinomyces sp. Its description in RNAcentral is "tRNA-Ser(tga)". It matches the Rfam family "tRNA". Rfam says of the family: Transfer RNA (tRNA) molecules are approximately 80 nucleotides in length. Their secondary structure includes four short double-helical elements and three loops (D, anti-codon, and T loops). RNAcentral also lists the same sequence under 2 other names. The record is from RNAcentral. Lineage: Bacteria; Bacillati; Actinomycetota; Actinomycetes; Actinomycetales; Actinomycetaceae.
GGAGAGGUGACAGAGCGGCCGAAUGUGGCGGUCUUGAAAACCGCUGUGCGCUUGGCGCACCGGGGGUUCGAAUCCCUCCCUCUCCG